This is a long non-coding RNA of Xiphophorus hellerii (green swordtail), 4398 nucleotides long. RefSeq lists it as uncharacterized. The record is from RefSeq and is a predicted model, not a curated record. NCBI's taxonomy places the organism in Eukaryota, Metazoa, Chordata, Actinopteri, Cyprinodontiformes, Poeciliidae. The transcript is spliced from 2 exons.
AAAGAAACUGAACUGUCUAUCAUGAGGAAGACGCGGUGCUCAAGUUCAUUAUAGGUAAUGGGGAAAACAAGAUAAUGAGGCUCCAAAUAUGAGCUUUUUUCCUAUAAUAUGAAGCGCCAGAUGAAAAGGAAGGCGGAAAAUAGUCUGAUUGGAUUUGGGGUUUAUUUAUUUUAUGCUUAUGUAACAGUCAUCGCACUCUGGUUAAAGGGUAGACCCCUCCCAGCUACGUCAGCAAAUCUCCUUAUAAGAGGGAGGAAAUAAGAGCUUUUCAUCAGCAUCGUUUCCGGCAGUUUUCUCCACAGGUAAGGUGAAGGAUUAAAAGAAGAAGGAAACUUUGACCUUGCUGCCAGCUUGUUUUUCAUUUUAAAAUGAGGAGGAGAAAAAAAAUUCUCCCACACGUACAAACACACAAAUCAUCUCUUUUCCCUCAUCUUAGCCUCGCUGUUGGCUGCAAAAAGGGCCCUGCUGAUGUUUCAGCCUUAUUUAUGCAAAUCCCAUUUUGCGGUUCAGUCAAAAUAGAGUAUUGGUCUCUCUUUCUAGCUCUAUUUCUCUCCUACCCGCCCUCCGUCUGCUCGGCCUCCAUCUCAAGAGCCGCCUCAGCCCAUUAUUUGUUUAGGGCGAUAUCAGACACAUUAUUUCCACCUCUCCCCGCAGUUUUCUGCAAGAAUACACAAAACGAGCGGCCAUCAGUGACGUUGCGAAGAAGCAGCAGCUAACUGUCAAUAGUAGAAAAACCACCGUGUGUCUUCACACAGCAUCACAAUUUGCACCCUCCUGGUGAUUGAACAAGCUAAAUCAGGAGAGCAAUGUAAAACUUGGGAACACAACCUGUUGAAAAAUAUUUUUCCAUUGACUUAAUUUUUGUUUUUAAUGUCUAAAAUUCUAUCAGGAUGAUUCAUCUGAACCCUAAAGAAAUAAGAACCUAUCUAGACGUCUUGAAUCGAAUUUUGAUUAGAAGCUACAGAUGGCAAAGCAGUUAUUAGUGAUUUAUACUUUUCUAUGAAUCCAUCAGAGUCAACUUUAUUAUUUUUUAGUGACAUCUACAGUAUUUUAUCCAAUUCACUCCCGAUGGCAUGGAUCCAAUCAGAUAUCACAUUUGUAUCCAAAAGAGAUGGCUAAUCACAGAGCUGAUAUCGUGCUGAUGCCACGGUAACAGUCAUUGAGCCAGAGUCCCUAGUUUUGUGUUGCUGCAGAUCAUCUUUUGGCCGAUUUUAGUCUAUAGGGUUAAGCUUACAGCCAAAAAGAUAAAAUUAAACUAUACAUGGUUAUCUCAUAGAUUUACAGUUUUAUAUAUAGUUUUUGCUGUGUGUCUUGAGCAAACAUUAAGACCUUUUAAAGUUAUAUUAGACAAGAAAUUAGCUUUGGCUAAUGAACAAGGUGGCUUUCAGAAAUUUGCUUUAUUAUUAUAAGUCUCUGUCAUAAAAUGUGCAAGAACUGGAAAUGUCAAGAGCUUGUAGGAAGAAACAGGGUCAAAUAUUUUCCAUCUGUUAAGUACAUAGAGCGGCUGUGCUUACAGUUAGCAAUGCUAACUGUGCUAAUCGCCCACAAAAGUCUUUAACACUGUUUAAAAGCGUCACUUUUACGCAUUUCUGACUUUGCUUCACAAAUAUCUUACAGCUCCUCUUUAUUGGGCUGGUUCUGGUGCCACGUUUUCAGUCUUUUACAUUCACAUGCUAACAAUUAACACUUCACUGCAGGAGAACUGUUACCAAGUAAUGUCACUGGAUCCAGAGGCUUUCAAGGAAACAGAACUGUAUUUGUAAUAUAUUACAAAUAUUUUACCAAGAUCAGUAAUAUUAAUAUUUCAAACAAUGCAAUAUUUAUUGUUGAAUGUGUUUAAGGUGUCAGGCAUUCACUUUUUCUCUACUCAGAACCCCUACAAGUCUAGGACUAUGUAAGUUAACCUAAUAACCUGCAUCUUCAAAUAGUGUAUUUGCAACUUACACCUGUAACUUGAAAAUUUAAGCAAGUCAGACAAAAUUUAAGCCACAACCUCAAACACGGGAAACCAUAAGCUUUAUAUGGACUAUUUUUGAAAAAAAUCACUUGGGUUGUCGCUAACUGCCAUUGGAUGGAAGCCAAAUGUAAAUUUUUAGUGGAUGAGAUGUUGAAGAUGCCUAAAAAUAGUGAUGCAAUUGUAAUAAUUAAAAAAGAAAAGAAUUAGGAAAAUAGAGGUUAAUUAUACUCAAUCUUGUCAUCACAAUAUUCAGAAAUAACACAAUUACAUGUUUUUCUGAUGUCACACAGGCCUUGUUUCAACAGAUAUUCCAAGUACAGAUGAUGGGAUCAGAGCCAAAAAAAACUUUAUUGAAGCAGCACACACCUGGAGACUUUAAUCAUUAAAAUACUCAAAUCCUCUCCAGCAAUCUAUCGGGUUAGGUUCUCCACAGUGAUACAAAGAGACACAAGGGAUACAGAAACUCAUUGGGCGAUUUUGAGUAACUAACCUUUCAAUCAUGUGUUUGGGCUGUGGGAGGAAGUUGGAAUACCAGGGAAGAACCCACAUGUUCGAAUAGAAAAACCUGGCAACUCCAUGUAGAGAGACCCCAGAGUGGGAUUUAAACCAAUAACCUUCAAGCUGAAAGGCAACAGUUCUACCAACCAGUAUAUGAUUAUUAUUAUUUUAUUGUAUAUUAUAUGUUGUAUUACACUGCAUUUCAAGUGCAAUACCAUUAGCAGUGAAGUGUGUUUACUGAAUUAUUAGGGUCAAUAAUAAAUUGAGGACAUCCAUGUUUAACUUGGGUCUUUAUUGAUAACAAGAAAACAAAAACUUGAAGUACAACUGGCUGUUCAUGUCUCUGCUUGAGAUGCAACAAAAGGCAGAACAUGAGGCAAUAACACAAAUGCAAAUAAGGACUUGCUCAAUGCUCAGAACAAUGACAUCGGUUAGACAUUCAUACCUCCCCCUCUGACUCAGGAAACACUCACCUGUUGAGGUGACUUCCUGAGAACACUAUUUUAGCACGCCACACCCUGCAUUAGCACUCAUGAUUAGCUCUCAGUGCACACAGAAUGCGAGGAAUGCCGCAUGUCGCUAAAGACAGAGCUUCAGCAUUUGAUAUGAUGCAUCUUCCCUGACAGAAAUGACGACAGAGACUCAACUUCCAGAAUCUACGACCGGUGUCCUGUCCCCACCGAAACCAGGUUUUACCUUGACCCUGAAUUGAAUCGUUAGGACUACAGUAGUCGCAGCUAUUUCUGCUGAUCUGCCCAGCGUUUCCUCACUCAUCACCCCCACUUUCGGCUCCUCUGCUCUUCUGGUCAGCAGACGAUGUCCCUCCAUCCCCAGGGAGGCGACAUGUGUAUACUGUCACAUUCUGUCAUAUACAAACGUGCUGACAGAAGCCUCACCGUGUCCGUCACAAGAACGGAGGUGGCAAUGCAAACAGGACGGGAGAGGGGUGCCACACAGAUCUACUGCUCCAAGUGAGGGGAAAGAGGUGGGGGGUCAUUAAACAACUCUCUCUCUUGACAGAGCAAGAGGGUGGGUGUCUGUGUCCCAGACGUGGACGCUCACACACACAGCUGAGUCACUAGUGACACAUCUGCUAGCGUAAGCUGGGCACGGUGCCAUGUGUGGCGGCCAGCUCGAGCAGCAGGCUUAGCAAUCGGCUCCCUGGCUCGCUCCGUCUAACACACACACACACACUUCACCUCGCGCUUCCAUCUCUGCCCAUCUGCCCUCCGUCUCCUCAACAAGAGGUCUUUCUCACACAACUACUCAAUCUUCUAAAGGAAAUGAAACAAUAAAACUGAAAGACCAGCAACUGUGUACCUCUGGUUGCAAAAAGGGGCAUAAAAUCGCUAGAAAAAUGUCAAAUUGGAAUGAAGGAUAAGCAUUUUACAAUAAUUUGAAUAGCAUUAUUAAACAAUGUUGCUUAAAAACAAGAAAAUUAAUCAAAGAAACUUGCAUAAUUUCUGCUUCAAUGAGGGUGCUUAUACCUUUAUCUUGUAUUACAUAUUAAUAUUCCAUAUUAAUAUGUAAUAUGUACUAGCUUUAGGACCAAGGAUGGGCUUGUUAUUGACAUCAGGAAAUACAGAUGUUUAAUUUGCAAUGGUUUCAAAACUGCUAACACUUUCCAUCACACAACUCCUGCAAUUUAAAGUAGCGAUGCACCAAUCUGACUUUUUUGGUAGAAACAUUUCUCUAGUUACAUUAUUCCUUUGCAUGCAAUACAACUUAUGUCCUUAAUUUUUAUAAGAUUUUUAUCUGACAUGACAAAGUGCAAGGAAUACGCUGCUAGUUGGUUUAUUUACUGACCGAAAAUGGUUGGAGUUCUUAGUUUUGAGGCAAUAAGGAAUCUUAUUUGUUUCCAGUAACUGAACUGCUGAUCAUUGACCAGAACCAAUCAAUUGGUGCAUCUCUAUUAAAUGUCAGAAUAAAAUAUGACUACCUAA